UAAUUUUUUUGGCACGAGUUGUAGAGUGUAGGCGGGAGUCUUUGUGGAGCACGGUGUCCAAGUCCCUUGGAACAGGGCGCCUGAGAGGGUGAGAGCCCCGUGGGGUGCCGUGCGAAGCUUUGAGGCCCUGCUGACGAGUCGAGUUGUUUGGGAAUGCAGCUCCAAGUGGGUGGUAAAUUCCAUCUAAGGCUAAAUACUGGCGAGAGACCGAUAGCGAACAAGUACUGUGAAGGAAAGAUGAAAAGCACUUUGAAAAGAGAGUGAAACAGCACGUGAAAUUGUUGAAAGGGAAGGGUAUUGGGCCCGACAUGGGGAGUGCGCACCGCUGUCUCUUGUAGGCGGCGCUCUGGGCGCUCUCUGGGCCAGCAUCGGUUCUUGCUGCGGGAGAAUGGGUGCCGGAAAGUGGCUCUUCGGAGUGUUAUAGCCGGCGCCAGAUACCGCGUGCGGG
RNAcentral lists this ribosomal RNA (448 nucleotides) under Pichia membranifaciens. RNAcentral describes it as "partial large subunit ribosomal RNA". It matches the Rfam family "Eukaryotic large subunit ribosomal RNA", at positions 126 to 581 of the family's 3401-position model. The record is from RNAcentral. Lineage: Eukaryota; Fungi; Ascomycota; Pichiomycetes; Pichiales; Pichiaceae.